UCCCUGGUGGUUUAGUGGUUAGGACUUGGCACUUUCAGUGCCAUGGACUUGGGUUCAAUCCCUGAUUUGGGAA
RNAcentral lists this transfer RNA (73 nucleotides) under Bos taurus (domestic cattle). It matches the Rfam family "tRNA". From Rfam's summary of the family: Transfer RNA (tRNA) molecules are approximately 80 nucleotides in length. Lineage: Eukaryota; Metazoa; Chordata; Mammalia; Artiodactyla; Bovidae. The record is from Rfam by way of RNAcentral. RNAcentral also lists the same sequence under 4 other names.